RNAcentral lists this long non-coding RNA (7910 nucleotides) under Olea europaea (common olive). RNAcentral describes it as "long non-coding RNA (OEUR_LNC007239)". The record is from RNAcentral. Lineage: Eukaryota; Viridiplantae; Streptophyta; Magnoliopsida; Lamiales; Oleaceae.
AUUUUUCCGUCUCUUCCAAUUUCUUUCAUUCCUUACUGGUCAUACUGUGUCAUCUUCAUGGCCUCUACCAGUUCUUUGACUGGUUUCCACUUAAGCUGAGCGGUGAUUUGUUAUUUCACCAAAGUACAGUAAAAUCAUGAAAUUAAACCUGUACAACUUUCUCUUAUUCCUCCUUUUCAUUAAUUCUGUUUUUUCUUGGAAAAAAGAUGAGUUCAGAAACUGCAAUCAGACCCCAUUCUGCAAACGUGCCCGAUCCCGUAAACCCGGUGCGUGCUCUCUAAUCGCCACCGAUGUCUCGAUUUUCGAUGGCGAUCUUAUAGCGAAGCUCGUCCCCAAUGAUAAGGUCCAAGAAAAUAUACAUAAUCAAGAAAAUCCCAUUGUUAAGCCUUUGGUUCUGACAAUUUCUGCUUAUCAAGAUGGUGUUUUGAGGCUCAAGAUUGAUGAGGACCAGAGUUUGAGCCCGCGCAAGAAGAGAUUUCAGGUGCCUGAUGUGAUUGUGCCAGAGUUUUUGAACAAAAAGCUGUGGUUACAGAAGUUAAAAACUGAGAAAAGUGAAGAUGGGUUGGGCAUCUUGUCCGUUGUUUAUCUUUCUGAUGGAUAUGAGGGUGUAAUUCGGCAUGACCCUUUUGAGGUUUUUGCGAGAGAAACUGGGAAAAAUGGGAAAAGAGUAUUGUCUUUGAACUCAAAUGGUUUGUUUGAUUUUGAACAGCUGAGGGAGAAAAAAGGAGAACAUGAGAAUUGGGAGGAGAGGUUUAGGAGCCACACCGAUACACGUCCUUAUGGACCACAGAGUAUUAGCUUUGACGUAUCAUUUUAUGAUGCUGAUAAAUCUGUGACCUAUAACAUUUUUGGAUUUGUGACCCAAAAAUAUUCUGUGACCUAUAAAUUCUUUGAUUUGUGACCGAAAAAUAACUUUUGACCAAUAAUAUGAUAAAUCGUGAUUAAAAAUUAAUCCGUAACUAAUUAAUUUUUUAAUUUGUGACCAACGAAAAAACUGUGACUUACAAAAUUUUUGAAUUGUGAACGUAAAAAAAUUUGUAACAUAAAAUUUUUGAUUUGUGACCAAAAAAUAAUAAAUAACUAUUUAUAUUGUUAAUUUGUGACCAAAUUGUAUAGAUCCGAGACCUAAAUAUAUUUAAUUAAUAAAAUAAUUAAUUAACUGAUUAAAUUAUAAAUAAUUUUUAAUAAAAAUCUGAUUUUAGAAAUUUGAAACUUGUUUUCUUGUUUUUGAAAUGUGCCAUAAUUAAUUUCUUAGUUAUGAAAUUUUCCCAAAAGAAAAUAUAGCAAAACCACUCAGCCUUAGCCCAGUAGACAGUGCAUAUGCAUGCUGGGGGAGAGGCUUAUCGAAGUUAUUAACAAAAUCCGUGUCUGAUAAUAAGGAAUAUAUAAUUAAGGAAGCAUACAUCGUAUAGGUUUCCUAGGCUUGUGGACUAAGCUGUAGUAAACUCGCUAAAUUUGAUUAUACAGUAACUGGAUCAUCUUUUUCCAAGUAAUGAUUCAAGCAUAGCAGCCUCUUCUUCCUGGAAAUAUGGCAAUUGAUAUGAGGAGAAUAUGUAAACUAUUAAUCUCUGUUCAGCAAGUGAAGUUGGUUUCAUACGUACCACUAAGGCAUUAAAUUCAGUCUCCUCGUCAAUGGCACUGAUUACCGAUGGAUCCUCCAAAAGUUCCUGUUUCAGGAGAGUUUAAAGACUGAAACUUCCAAUUUACAUAUCUAAUGAAAAAACAAAGCGGCAACUCAAGCUACAGAGUACAGAUUGAUCUCUACCAAAAGGAUUGCAGUGUGCAAUUGAGAAUUGCCCACAUGAAGUCACGGGAAUAUACACUUGAGUACUUGAUUAUAAUGACAAAAGGCAGAUAUACCAGUACCCUAAUGCUACAGAACCAAAAUUGUCAAUAUAGCUCCUACCGGUGGCAGUGGAAAUAAUAGAUCAUGUUUCGUUUUUACUUGACUUAUUGCUGCAAAGCUUCUAAUAAGAGGCUUUAAUCAGUAACAUGCAAAUACAACUUUUCUUGUGACUGAAGAACCGGAAAGUAUGUUAGAGAAUUGGAGAUUGCGGCCACAAGGUUGAGUUGUUGAUCAAGCUCGAGAUUAAGAAUAAUGGAUUUACAAGGAUACAUGUAACUCAUUUUAUAGUUUUAUCAUUGAUAUUUCAAGUAAAUCAAUCUCAAAUCUCUGUCAUCUAUUUAUUUUUUUGGGCAAUUAGUAGGAUUGAGAAGGUAAAAUUAACAUAUCAUUGAAUUGAAAGCAACGGCCUUGUUCUCGAGAUUAUGGACAGUACAAAACUACAAAGUUGUUAAAACUCUAUAAUGAAUUUUUUUAAGUUAAUGAGAAAAUACUCGUAAUGAAUUACAAUGCUAUAUAGUAGCAUCCAUGAUACUAAGCUUCGUGCAGGAAGGGGAGAUUUAUGUCCUCUAUUGAACCAUAUUAAGUGCUUUGUAGCAUUAUUUAAAUAUCGAAACAAAGGGAAGAAAAGGAAAGAUUAAAAUAUGUGCUGAGAGUCAAUUGCUUACAUCAUCGGCUAUUUGAAGUGUACCAUUUUCAUCCUGCAAAAGCAUAAAAUGGACUUUAUUACAAAAUAGCCUUGUGGAUUUCAAAACAAAAAAGAAAUUAGUUCAAGGUGUUAUGAAAAAAAUAUAUAUAUAUAUUAUUAUCAGGGGAUAUUACAUAAUACUAGAGAGAGAUCUUUGAACUAAAUGAGGAAAUUUUACGAAUGAUCAUUAAUCCUUUACCUUCACAGCAACAAAUAGAAGAGGGUCAGAAGGUGUAUAAAUUAUGUAGUGGGAACCAUCCUGCAUGGUAAAAAUAUCAAGAUAAGAAGAAACCAUUUGCAGAAAGGAAAAUACACAUAUACUCUCUUGUCUAUAAGUCGGAGCACCUUAGAAUGGUUCACUCAGUUCCUUCGACCUCUCAACAAACCACAGUAAACUACUCACUGCUUGCUCAGUAGUCAUUCUUUUAAAUUCAAAUUAGUUUCCUCAUUAUUUUUCACCUAUAACAUUAACCUCAUAUGAGGCUAUUCUGACUCACUUUCCCAUUUAACAUGAUCGGUCAACAAAAAACGAUAAACAACACCAUUUCAAUUUUUUUGGAGAUGCCAUACCAGAUGGAAACAUGCAAUUUCAAUGCCUUCAGUUGGCAAGCCAUCAAUGUUUUCACCAUUAUCUGCAGGACAAUGAAGUGCUCGUCAAAACGUAAAAAAAUUUAGCCGGAACUUGGAAAGAGUAUUCACAGAAACAAUACCAAUUGGCCCAUGGCAGUAAUGGCAUAGCUAAUUCUUUAUGAUAUUUAACCAGGGAAGACGCUAGUGGAAGUUUAAGGCUUGAUUUUGGGAAAUUCCAUGUAACCCUGUGCAAAUUGUAAGUUAUUCGACACAUCACGGCAGCAUGUGAUGAUAACCAUGUCAUCGUGUUUGUUUAGAGGCUGGCAAUUGGCUGAUAUGCCAAUGCCAUCAAAAUGCUAAUAGAUGAUAUCUGUGGAACAAUCAUGUUGUCAAUCUGGCAUGCAAACAGUUUCAUUGAGAAAUUGACAAAUUACGGAUACUUGUAAAGCAACUCGCUACUCUGGCAUGCAAACAGUUCCAUCGCCAAUUUGUGCAGUUACCAAAUUUGAUCUAUUCAAGCUGAACGAGCAUAUUAUGCGGGAAGUGUCAAAUCAAUUUAUUCACACAAGACGUGGCUUAAAACCUUCUAAUUUGAAUAGCCAUUAUAUAUUAUUCUGAUCAAGGUUUUGAAAUCAAACCAGUGCUCAGCUACUUAACUGAUUUUUAGCUUCCUGUGGACCAGACAGUGGCAGCAACACUAAAUUCGUAGGGGAAUACAAAAAGUGGAUAAAUGACUCUCAUCAGGGUACAAGCUUUAAAGAGUUGAAACAAAAUGUUACCAGUGUGGAAGUCAAAUAUGUCAUCCUCAGUAUAGCAAAAACCACCUCGUGCUGUAUAACAAAAUCUGAUGACAAAGAAAAAAGAAGUUACUCGACAUCAGAUGUAUUAGAAUGCUAUAUGUUAUGAGUCACAGAAAGUAAAGUUAACAGUGACGACUGACAACCCCCCAAAAAUAAGUGAGAGUUAUCAUACCCACUGUACACCAGAUGCAUAUGUAUUUUGGCCAGGGCAUAGGCUGCAGUUGGGAGAAUAGCCUCAACUUCUUCAUCACUGACCUACAAAGCAGAUGAGCAUCAAAAUAAAUAAGUCAAAUUACUUAAAAAAUGGUUAGUGCGGAUGAAACUAAGGAGAGGGAGAGAUUUUAAGACUCUAUAAGUCAGGAAAUUGAUCUUUGAGAAUGAAAGCACAAGAAGCCCACAAAAAAGAUGAAAAUUGAUCUCUUUUGUAUGUUUCUCUGAUUCGCAUAAAUAAUCACAAAUCAUGGACUUCUUUCCAGAAGUGAUUCACAAAGAAAAUAACUCCAACAAUACGCAGUGCCUCACUUGAGCCAAUCAAUUUCUCCAUCCCUCUUAUUUGCAUGGACAGACUUAAAAAUUCACCACCUUAUAUUAGUUAUGAUUUAUAUUUUCAAACUUUUAUUGGUGGUUUUCAUUAAGUCUUGUAAUGGAAGCAAUACUUCCAAUUUUAGUGCUUUUAUAAUUGCUUCUUUCUCUCUUCUUGAUGUAAUAUCUGGAGGUAAAGGUAAGGUCCAUGUCCCCCUCCAUGUGUAUUUGUGAAUUCAUUUAUAAAACAGGGCCGGGGAAUCCAAAACCCCAUUGGGUUUAGGUGGAGGAGUAAAAAUUCCACUUACACUUUGACGCUGUUUUGGGGGAAAAAAAAAAAAAAGAGAGAGAGAGACCAAAAACGCAAAAACAACAUUAAAGAAGAAUUCAGAAAAGCACACACAGUCAGCUGAGCUAAUAAUCUUGCAUUCACAAAAAAGAGUGAGCAGUCUCAAAGCUACCACCUAUCUUAAAGACAUACACACCUCACCAACACUCAUAAUAUCAUAACAUAUUCCAGCUCAUAGACUUGAGUAUGCCAGAAUGUUUGAGAGCUUCAAUUAGAGAAGAAUAUGCAUUACAAUACUGAUCUUUGCCAAGUGUCCACUAUACAAUAAUUUGUUCAUCACCUCAACUCAACUAAACUUCACUUAUCUAGACCGUAAUCUAUCAAGGGUCAUCUUCAAAAGAUUGACCUAUGACAUGAAACUAAAAAAGAUACUCCAUCUUUGUUAUUCAUGUUCUGCCCCAAAUUAGAAAUGAACAACAUCACUCUCAAUGACAAAGAAGUAUGUCCAAAAGCACUAAAACAUUGCAUAAGACUAAUAUAAAUAAACUACAUGAACCUGUAACGUGGCUUGUUGAAAUACCAAAAUAAAGAUUUCAGCUAGUAACCCCCAAACAUCACGUGCAAGGGGGCCUCUUGAGUGAUGUUUCUGGAUUCUACUGGCCAGGUACACUCAAAGCAUAUAUUCAAAUGAAAAUGCAAAUAGGAAAGGGACCGAGCUUCUCUCAAGCAUAUCAUAGCUAUGAUCUAAAAAAUUACAAAUUCUACAGUAAUGAACGUUUGUUAAGACGAGUACACGUCUGAAGAAUACAGUCACAAACACUCUUUGCCUUUUGGAGAAAACGUAAAUUGUGAUUAGCGCCACGGCUAUUAGAUAAUGAAUCAAAGCGAGGUAAAUUAUCAGACUUACAGCAGACCAUCCUUCUACAUUGACACUCUUCAAAAUCUGAACAGGCCUGCAAUCAAUUGUAUUUGUUAGACAAACAUUUACCAAAGACUAACAGAUAUUUGUAACCACAGCCCUGAAACCUCGCUUACGUAUCAACGGGGCAGAGUAGCAUACAUUCAUCUCCUCGUGAAUUUCUAAACACCCUCCUAAUGACGCACUCCAAUGGGAAGUUAUUUGUAGUAUCAACCUGUCAGUGACUUGUUUAGGAUGAAUAAUAUAUGAACUGAACUGCAUCUAUAACAUACAAACAAGAGAGGAAAAAGGAAAGAAAAUCAUUAAAACCGUACAAUUGUGGCAAUACGUUUGUUAGACGCCAUGAGGACUCUCCCUUGGUCGUCCAACACAAACCCAGCCGGAGGUUUAGGCAGAGGAAGCUGCUGAUAAGGUGGCUGCUGAGACUCUGACUGCCGCACCUCCACUCCACUACUUCGGUCAAUUUCAAAAUCAUCUUCUACUAUAUUCUUCCCUUUUCCACUGGGUUUCUUCUUCUUCUUCGUAGCUGGCGGUCCAGUACCGCGCUGCUGCUUUGCUGAUGCGUAGCAACGCAACAACCCACGUCCAGCGCUUGUGUUUAUACCGCUGUAUUUAAAUUGGGGAUAAUGAACGAAAGACGGUGGGAUUUUUGGAGAAAUUUUAACAAUAUUGGAAGGGAUUGUUGAACAAGAUGAAUAUGUGGGCAUCGAGAAACCCAUUUGCUGUUUGCUGAUUGUUGAAAUGGAGGUGAAAAUCGGAUACGUCUUAGUAUCAGAGCUCCUUAGGUGUACAUUAUCAAGAUUUUCAUAUUUUCUUCUAUUAUUUUACCGUAUAUUUCGUUUUUCAUUUUUUGAAUUAUUAGAAUUGUGAGAAAUCCUUGUUUGAGUAUUCUUUUCGGAGGAAAAAUAAAUUUUGUAAUAUUGAAUUGUUUAGAGAAAUUAUGGCUAAAAAUUUGAAAAAAAAAUAAAUUGUGAAUUUAUGUGCGAAGUUAUAUCAUUGAAAAAUAUGUGAUUGAAAAUGAGUUCAGAGAUAAUUAAAAUUUUGAAAAAUGGUUCAAGCAAGGGCAAAAUGUGCAAAAUCUUUUAGGCUUGGAACUCAUACUUGGAAGAAUCAAGAAAUUUACUUGUACAAUGAUUGUUGACAAUUUAUGUAUUGUCAAGAUCUGUUUCAUUGAUUUAAAAAAUAAAUUUUAAAAUUGAUGGUAUAAAUUUUUUCAACUCAUGAUUUAAUCGUCAAUAAUUUUGAGGGGUAGUUUUGUGGUCAAGUUUUGGGCUUGUUUCCUAAUGAUCACUAGUUCGAAUCCCCUUAAGGUCAAUGAGAUGAGCACUCGACUGUAAAUUUCAAGAUUUCGUAGGAUUAGUUGAAGUACGCGUAGUUGAUUCGGACACUCACGAUUAUAAAAAAAAAAAAAGAUUUAAUCGUCAAUAGAAGUUAUCAACUAUUGUUGUACUUGUAACAUGAUUCUUUUUAAGUAUGGCCUACAAAUGUCACAUCUUGAGGAACAUACAAAUUCGAUUUCCUAGUUACCCUUUCACUUAAUCGAGGAAGAAAUUAAAAUGUAGAAUGAAAUUGAAUUCGAUUUGUUUUAUUUUUACGGUUUGAUACUAUUUAUUAUCUUGCAUGUUAGGUGGACGGUGAAAGAUUACCAAUUAGUUAUAAUUAUAUUUGAUGAUCAUGUAGGCAUUGCGCAUCAAUUUGUCAAUUGUCAUGAUAGACGAGGGGUAAAAUAUGAAGCAAAAUGAGUGAUUAUAUUGUGAUAAAAUUGAAGAUGUGGGAUUUCAAUGGAUUCGAAUUAAAGUCGAGUGGUCAAAAUUGUAAUACGAUAAAUAAAGUGUUCAAAUGCAAAAUGGGCGAAUCAGGAGGGCGAAGUCUUAAAUUUGAGAAAAGUGCAAAAGGCCUAAAAAUAUCCGAAGGCUAUAUUUAAGAAAUUGGAAUUAAGGUCUAUAUUCAAUAUUAUCCAUAAAAUGAGGGCCCAAAUUACUAUUUUUCCGUCUCUUCCAAUUUCUUUCAUUCCUUACUGGUCAUACUGUGUCAUCUUCAUGGCCUCUACCAGUUCUUUGACUGGUUUCCACUUAAGCUGAGCGGUGAUUUGUUAUUUCACCAAAGUACAGUAAAAUCAUGAAAUUAAACCUGUACAACUUUCUCUUAUUCCUCCUUUUCAUUAAUUCUGUUUUUUCUUGGAAAAAAGAUGAGUUCAGAAACUGCAAUCAGACCCCAUUCUGCAAACGUGCCCGAUCCCGUAAACCCGGUGCGUGCUCUCUAAUCGCCACCGAUGUCUC